AACCAAACAGCCCCUACGCCUCAUCAGUCAUCACCCUCUCAACGCGCGACUCACUCCUGGCGUUGUCGUCCCCUUCCGCCGCCGGCGCGCACUGAACGAGAGGCGAGGUCUUCCCACCGCUGGAGCUUCCCCAUCCACCGCGGCCGGCCGCAGGUCCCCAUCCGUCGCCCGGAGCCGACGUCGUCCCCAACCGCCGCCGCCGGAGACAAGGUCUUCCCGAUGCGCCGCCGCCGCCGCAGUCCACCGCUGCCCAUGAGGUCGUUCCCUUCCGCCGCCGCUGCCGCCGUCACCGCGCACUGAACCGGAGGCGAGGUCUUCCCCAGCCCCUGUCUUCAUCGUGCGCAUCCUUGCCGUGCGCCAUGUUUAGUUGUCUUCACCCUCGACGCCUCGGAGCCGGACGCCCGCUGCCCACCACCACACCACCGGACAACCUCUAUCCCUGCCGCCCUCCUCUCCAUCGUGUGCUUGCCUUCUUUAGCCCGAGGAGAGAGGAUUCCUACCACGUCUUUCUGUUGUGCCAGUAUCCUCAUCGAUGAAUGAUUUUACCACAGCAGCAAAGCGGUUGCCAUCUGCUGGUAUUAUCCCAGGUUUGCUUUUCCGUCUCCUCUCCUUCUCAAUUCCUUUAUGUGCCCUUGUUCAGAUUGCAUUUACUUUCUCUUUCUCCUUUCUGCUAUCAAAUAGGAUCAAUGAAUUGUUCCGUGAAUGCUAAUUAUAUUAUGAGAAUUUUUCCCCGGCAAAAAAAAAAAACAAAUGAAAUCUGUAGCAAUAUGCUAUAUAUUAAUCUUGAAUUUGUGAGAAUGUCAACAUUCAACCUUUCGACUAUGACCCUAUGUCACACUGAUUCAUUGUCAUAUCUGUUGAUUUCCAAAUUUGCUUAAUCGAUACAUGUUAAAAUGCAAUUCCAAUAUAUAUGAAAAAUAACAAAAUUGAUAAAAUGUUUGAUUAUGCUCUGGAAAUUAUACAAAAUGAAAAGCUCAAUCUAUAUGUAAAUCAUUGAUUCUGGGUACUUAUUCAACUACAAAAGGCAUUGCCCCAGAUCCCAACUUUCAUAACUUUAUUAGUUUGUCAUUUUUGUUUUUGAUCCUUGCACAUGAUGACAGUACCUCUGAGGUAUUGUUUCACUUUCACCCUAAAUUUACAUGAAAAAUCCUAAAUGCAAUUUGUUUUACCUAUGUAAAUGAUGCAAGAUGCAAGUGUAGGAGCUGAAAAUUUCUCUUUCAGGGACCAAGAAGAAUACAAACUUAACAGUUAGGUAUAAUCAUAAGAUUAUAUAUUGUGUUUCAUUUUGUUAUCAUUAAACUGAUCCACAUGAUGUUCAAGUGAUUACACAAGUGCAUAGAUUGUUUUAAAAGUUGGGUUCGAUAGAUAUGUAGAAUUCCAUGCCGCCAUCAGUGAUACCUCGCAAGCAAGCCACAAUGUCUGCACCUAGGCCUUCAGCGGCUCCAGCUACUGCGUGCUGCAGAUGGUACCCUUCCAUUACGGUGAGGGGGUCUUCUAGAUUAGCUAUCACGGUUUUUUUUUUCAUGUUUGUGCAUGAUUGGAGUAUCUCUUUUUUUUCGGCUGUACUGAAAUUUGGUUUGUGAUUAACCUGUGAAAGUAUCUGUUUGCACUGCUCGAUAUCCUUUAUUUUGAAAGCGACAUCCCGAGGAGGAAGGCUCUUGUGCUAAAGAAAAUCUUUAGUUCCUCUCCUUCCAAUUUUUUCGGUUCUUCUUUUUGUUUUGAUUAAUGAAACCAGAAAUUCUUGAACUGAAGGAAAAACAGGUAGCUCUACUGUGUUUAUGGUCUUUCCUGUUGAAGUAGGAAUUCAUAGGUGUGUGGCAAUGCUCAGCGAUUGCACAAGUGAAGGGGAUGCAAUUAGACUUGGAAAUGGAGUUAGAAGGCUUAAAGAAUGGACGAAGGCAUAUAUCCUCUUCAAAGAAUGAGGUCUCAAGGGAUUUGGUUGUCAAUGUAAAAUCACAGAUGAAACAAUCUUUGUUGGUGGCUGCCCGGGGUUGCCAAGCGGUGUCUCCACCUCUGACUCCAUUCAUGUAAUCAUGUUCAUGGUCUGCUCCAUUGAGUUUAUUUUUACUGGAUGCACAUCCUUCCAUUAGUAGUUCUUGCAAGAAACUGAAAUAAGUAACAGUCGUAUAGCAUUAUGCUGCUAGUAUCUUCAGUAAAGAAUGUAUUGUCAUUUGCUUACCUCUUUUGUGUUUUCUUCUUCUGAUGCUUAGAGACACAAAAACAAGCGUGUACAAACGAUGGAAAGAGAAUAAACUGUAAUUAGUGAUCAA
Oryza sativa Japonica Group (Japanese rice) is the source of this 2270-nucleotide long non-coding RNA. RefSeq lists it as uncharacterized. The record is from RefSeq and is a predicted model, not a curated record. NCBI's taxonomy places the organism in Eukaryota, Viridiplantae, Streptophyta, Magnoliopsida, Poales, Poaceae.